This is a long non-coding RNA of Melanotaenia boesemani (Boeseman's rainbowfish), 203 nucleotides long. RefSeq lists it as uncharacterized. NCBI's taxonomy places the organism in Eukaryota, Metazoa, Chordata, Actinopteri, Atheriniformes, Melanotaeniidae. The record is from RefSeq and is a predicted model, not a curated record. The transcript has 3 exons.
CGCACCUUCAUCCAGAAUUCCUGUCCAGAGGAAGACGCUUCUUUUCUUUCCAGGUUUUUCUUCUUUUGGUUCAGAAGUUUGGUGAUUCAAGGUUAUCGCCACCCUCUACAAGCUGCAGAUCUGUGGACUUUGCGGGACCAGGACACAUCAAUCCGGAUCAUGACUGGCUUGGAGAGGUUCUGGAAGCAGCAGAAAUAUAAACA